This 278-nucleotide ribosomal RNA is filed under the name uncultured Christensenellaceae bacterium. Its description in RNAcentral is "partial 16S ribosomal RNA". It matches the Rfam family "Bacterial small subunit ribosomal RNA", at positions 511 to 788 of the family's 1533-position model. Lineage: Bacteria; Bacillati; Bacillota; Clostridia; Christensenellales; Christensenellaceae. The record is from RNAcentral.
GCAGCCGCGGUAAUACGUAGGGGGCGAGCGUUGUCCGGAAUGACUGGGCGUAAAGGGCGCGUAGGUGGUUCGGUAAGUUUGGAGUGAAAGUCCCGCUUUCAAGGUGGGAAUUGCUUUGAAAACUGCCGAACUUGAGUGAUGGAGAGGAUAGCGGAAUUCCCGGUGUAGCGGUGAAAUGCGUAGAGAUCGGGAGGAACACCAGUGGCGAAGGCGGCUAUCUGGACAUAAACUGACACUGAGGCGCGAAAGCGUGGGUAGCAAACAGGAUUAGAUACCCC